RNAcentral lists this ribosomal RNA (427 nucleotides) under uncultured bacterium. RNAcentral describes it as "partial 16S ribosomal RNA". It matches the Rfam family "Bacterial small subunit ribosomal RNA", at positions 355 to 774 of the family's 1533-position model. The record is from RNAcentral.
UGGGGAAUAUUGGACAAUGGGCGAAAGCCUGAUCCAGCCAUGCCGCGUGUGUGAAGAAGGUCUUCGGAUUGUAAAGCACUUUAAGUUGGGAGGAAGGGCAUUAACCUAAUACGUUAGUGUUUUGACGUUACCGACAGAAUAAGCACCGGCUAACUCUGUGCCAGCAGCCGCGGUAAUACAGAGGGUGCAAGCGUUAAUCGGAAUUACUGGGCGUAAAGCGCGCGUAGGUGGUUUGUUAAGUUGGAUGUGAAAUCCCCGGGCUCAACCUGGGAACUGCAUUCAAAACUGACUGACUAGAGUAUGGUAGAGGGUGGUGGAAUUUACUGUGUAGCGGUGAAAUGCGUAGAUAUAGGAAGGAACACCAGUGGCGAAGGCGACCACCUGGACUAAUACUGACACUGAGGUGCGAAAGCGUGGGGAGCAAACA